UGCUCAUGGAAAUUUUCUUUUAUCUUUUGCAGAGGGAAGCCAUACUAAGGAACUGCCGUGACCUCUUUCUCAUUGCUUUUGGUGUUGUUCCCACUGCAGUCAGUCAGAUGUCUUCCAGCCUAGAAGGGAGAACGAUGCCAGUCACCAGGCCAGCUGGGUCAUUUGUUGUAAUCACUUGUGAUCUUCCUGAACCAGGUACCAAGUACAUGCACUGGUACCUGGUCCAGGAGAGGAAGGCCCCACAGCGACUUCUCCACUGUGCCUUCCUCACCACCACGGUUGUGUUGGACUCAGAAACCAGUCCAGGGAAAUACCAUGUCUAUGAAGAUGCAGGGAAGACCUGUAAGGUUGUAGUCCGAAAUCUGGAAGAAAGUGAUUCUGGCGUGUAUUACUGUGCCAUGUGGGACAGGCACGGUGAUUCAGACCUGCCCUAGGCUGUACUGAAAAUUUUGCUUGUGGCUGCUCCUGGCACACAAGGUAGACCACCUUCUGUCUGGCUUCCUGCCCCUGACUUCACCGUACCCUGAACAGAGAGAAACCCUGAGCUCAAAGCCUAUC
This is a non-coding RNA of Galeopterus variegatus (Sunda flying lemur), 558 nucleotides long. NCBI's taxonomy places the organism in Eukaryota, Metazoa, Chordata, Mammalia, Dermoptera, Cynocephalidae. The record is from the annotation of a RefSeq genome assembly.